RNAcentral lists this long non-coding RNA (299 nucleotides) under Manihot esculenta (cassava). RNAcentral describes it as "long non-coding RNA (MESC_LNC009286)". Lineage: Eukaryota; Viridiplantae; Streptophyta; Magnoliopsida; Malpighiales; Euphorbiaceae. The record is from RNAcentral.
CUAACUAGAUAAUAUAUUAUCUCCUUAGAUUUCGGUGAUAUUUUUUUUAAGUUUUUUUUAGUUACGGUUGGAGAUCUUUCAAGUCGCAUGAAUUCAAUUUUUGUGACAGCCAGUACAACCAAAAAAGGAAGAACGCAAUAAAAAUUUUCUCAAUUGUAUUCGGGUUUUCAAGUCAUCUGAUGUUGGGUUUCUAGGUUUUCCGCUUGUGGUCGUAGUUGUUAAUUUUAUUUCCUAAUCUUAGAGGUCUAUGAUUUUUUAUAUUUAGACUUUGAGCAUAUGUAAUGCCUUCUUUUAUCAAU